UCGGGAUAGCUCAGUUGGUAGAGCAGAGGACUGAAAAUCCUCGUGGUCACCAGGUUCAAUAA
Molecule: transfer RNA, 62 nt
Filed under: Aletris spicata
Lineage: Eukaryota; Viridiplantae; Streptophyta; Magnoliopsida; Dioscoreales; Nartheciaceae
Description: partial tRNA-Phe
Source: RNAcentral